GACUCUCGGCAACGGAUAUCUCGGCUCUCGCAUCGAUGAAGAACGUAGCGAAAUGCGAUACCUGGUGUGAAUUGCAGAAUCCCGCGAACCAUCGAGUCUUUGAACGCAAGUUGCGCCCGAGGCCACUCGGCUGAGGGCACGCCUGCCUGGGCGUCA
This 156-nucleotide ribosomal RNA is filed under the name Triticum aestivum (bread wheat). RNAcentral's name for it is "rRNA 5_8S_rRNA". It matches the Rfam family "5.8S ribosomal RNA". Rfam says of the family: 5.8S ribosomal RNA (5.8S rRNA) is a component of the large subunit of the eukaryotic ribosome. The record is from Rfam by way of RNAcentral. RNAcentral also lists the same sequence under 1 other name. Lineage: Eukaryota; Viridiplantae; Streptophyta; Magnoliopsida; Poales; Poaceae.